CGGGGGGGGCAAGCGUUGUUCGGAAUUACUGGGCGUAAAGGGCCAGUAGGCGGCCAACUAAGUCCGACGUGAAAUCCCCAGGCUUAACCUGGGAACUGCGUCGGAUACUGGAUGGCUUGAAUUCGGGAGAGGGAUGCAGAAUUCCAGGUGUAGCGGUGAAAUGCGUAGAUAUCUGGAGGAAUACCGGUGGCGAAGGCGGCAUCCUGGACCGAGAUUGACGCUGAACGGCGAAAGCUAGGGGAGCAAACGGGAUUAGAUACCCCGGUAGUCCUAGCCCUAAACGAUGAAUGUUUGGUGUGGCGGGUAUCGAUCCCUGCCGUGCCGAAGCUAACGCAUUAAACAUUCCGCCUGGGGAGUACGGUCGCAAGGCUG
This 372-nucleotide ribosomal RNA is filed under the name uncultured organism. Its description in RNAcentral is "bacterial SSU rRNA". It matches the Rfam family "Bacterial small subunit ribosomal RNA", at positions 526 to 896 of the family's 1533-position model. The record is from RNAcentral.